AGUGAAUCUCCUUCGGGAGUGAAGCUAGCGGCGGACGGGUGAUUAACACGUGGGCAACCUGCCUCAUAGAGGGGAAUAGCCUUUCUAAAGGAAGAUUAAUACCGCAUAAGAUUGUAGCUUCGCAUGAAGUAGCAAUUAAAGGAGCAAUCCGCUAUGAGAUGGGCCCGCGGCGCAUUAGCUAGUUGGUGAGGUAACGGCUCACCAAGGCGACGAUGCGUAGCCGACCUGAGAGGGUGAUCGGCCACAUUGGGACUGAGACACGGCCCAGACUCCUACGGGAGGCAGCAGUGGGGAAUAUUGCACAAUGGGGGAAACCCUGAUGCAGCAACGCCGCGUGAGUGAUGACGGCCUUCGGGUUGUAAAGCUCUGUCUUCAGGGACGAUAAUGACGGUACCUGAGGAGGAAGCCACGGCUAACUACGUGCCAGCAGCCGCGGUAAUACGUAGGUGGCGAGCGUUGUCCGGAUUUACUGGGCGUAAAGGGAGCGUAGGCGGACUUUUAAGUGAGAUGUGAAAUACCCGGGCUCAACUUGGGUGCUGCAUUUCAAACUGGAAGUCUAGAGUGCAGGAGAGGAGAAUGGAAUUCCUAGUGUAGCGGUGAAAUGCGUAGAGAUUAGGAAGAACACCAGUGGCGAAGGCGAUUCUCUGGACUGUAACUGACGCUGA
Molecule: ribosomal RNA, 665 nt
Filed under: uncultured bacterium
Lineage: Bacteria
Description: bacterial SSU rRNA
Rfam family: Bacterial small subunit ribosomal RNA
Source: RNAcentral